This 440-nucleotide ribosomal RNA is filed under the name uncultured bacterium. RNAcentral describes it as "partial 16S ribosomal RNA". It matches the Rfam family "Bacterial small subunit ribosomal RNA", at positions 338 to 795 of the family's 1533-position model. The record is from RNAcentral.
CCUACGGGUGGCAGCAGUGGGGAAUAUUGGUCAAUGGGCGCAAGCCUGAACCAGCAACGCCGCGUGAAGGAUGAAGGCUUUCGGGUUGUAAACUUCUUUUGAUAGGGAAGUUAAUAACAGUAUGUAUCGUGCAUGCCCUGGAUAACUCUGUGCCAGAAGCGGCGGUAACAUGCAGGGUGCAAGCGUUAUUCGGAGUCUCUGGGGGUUAAGGGGGCGUAGGCGGGAUAGCAAGUCAGAUGUGAAAUCCUCCGGCUCAACCGUAGAACUGCAUUUGAAACCGUUAUUUUUGAGUACAGGAGAGGUAGGUGGAAUUCUUGGUGUAGCGGUGAAAUGCGUAGAGAUAAGGAAGAACACUAGUUGCGAAGGCGGCCUGCUGGACGGUAACUGACGGUGAUGCGCGAAAGCGUGGGGAGCAAACAGGAUUAGAUACCCCAGUAGUC